This 83-nucleotide transfer RNA is filed under the name Candidatus Bathyarchaeota archaeon. RNAcentral's name for it is "tRNA-Tyr". It matches the Rfam family "tRNA". Rfam says of the family: Transfer RNA (tRNA) molecules are approximately 80 nucleotides in length. Their secondary structure includes four short double-helical elements and three loops (D, anti-codon, and T loops). The record is from RNAcentral. Lineage: Archaea; Thermoproteati; Candidatus Bathyarchaeota.
UGAGAUGUACGCAAGUGGACAACGCGGCCGGAUUGUAGCUCCGGUGCUUUCGAGCUUCGUGGGUUCGAAUCCUACCAUCUCAA